Molecule: unclassified non-coding RNA, 258 nt
Filed under: Hevea brasiliensis (rubber tree)
Lineage: Eukaryota; Viridiplantae; Streptophyta; Magnoliopsida; Malpighiales; Euphorbiaceae
Source: RNAcentral
GGAGUCGCAUGACCUGCAAAGCUCUGGCCAAAUGCCCAAAAGCUCCUUUACAAUACCUAGAUGGCCACGCUUAGCAGCAACAUGAAAAGGGUGCAAAUCAGAUUUGGACCUAAUCUUCAGGAUCUGGAGAGUGGAAAAUUGAAGCAAAUAGCUAAAAACCUCCUCAAGAUUAUUCUCAGCGGCCACAUACAAAGCUGUCUCCCCAGCAUCAUUCUGCAUCGCCAUCAGAUCGGUAAUCGAAGAACCCUCAGGCUGUUC